Molecule: transfer RNA, 88 nt
Filed under: Phycisphaerae bacterium
Lineage: Bacteria; Pseudomonadati; Planctomycetota; Phycisphaerae
Description: tRNA-Ser
Rfam family: tRNA
About the family: Transfer RNA (tRNA) molecules are approximately 80 nucleotides in length.
Source: RNAcentral
GGAGAGGUGUCCGAGAGGCUGAAGGAACGCGACUGGAAAUCGCGUAAACGGGCAACCGUUUCGGGGGUUCGAAUCCCCCCCUCUCCGC